This is a small nucleolar RNA of Phragmites australis (common reed), 107 nucleotides long. NCBI's taxonomy places the organism in Eukaryota, Viridiplantae, Streptophyta, Magnoliopsida, Poales, Poaceae. The record is from RefSeq and is a predicted model, not a curated record.
CUGCAUGAAUUGAAUCUUUCUGUAAAUAUGGACAAAGAAUAAGGUUGAUGAAAUUUAGAUGAGUAUUAAGUGAGUUAUAAGUGAUCAUGGGGGACCAUCAUGCAUUC